GCCAAUAUGUUGCUUUUAUCUGCAUUUGCACCUGCACUUGUUUCUUCCUUCAUCUCCUCAAAACUUUAAACACCAGAGCUUCAAAGCUUCGAAUUGCUUCAAAGCUUCAAAGCAUGGCUAAGGCAAGAAAAAAGGAAAGAGAAUUAAGAAAAUGGAAACUUAUGUAUGGAAGGUAGAAAGGAAGAGAAGGAACCAGCAAGAGGUGCAGGUGCCAAUGCAGGUGAAUGCCAUCUUGGU
RNAcentral lists this microRNA precursor (237 nucleotides) under Prunus persica (peach). RNAcentral's name for it is "pre miRNA MIR530". It matches the Rfam family "MIR530 microRNA precursor family". Lineage: Eukaryota; Viridiplantae; Streptophyta; Magnoliopsida; Rosales; Rosaceae. The record is from Rfam by way of RNAcentral.